GACGAACGCUGGCGGCGUGCUUAACACAUGCAAGUCGAACGGAAAGGCCCUGCUUUUGUGGGGUGCUCGAGUGGCGAACGGGUGAGUAACACGUGAGUAACCUGCCCUUGACUUUGGGAUAACUUCAGGAAACUGGGGCUAAUACCGGAUAGGAGCUCCUGCUGCAUGGUGGGGGUUGGAAAGUUUCGGCGGUUGGGGAUGGACUCGCGGCUUAUCAGCUUGUUGGUGGGGUAGUUGCUUACCAAGGCUUUGACGGGUAGCCGGCCUGAGAGGGUGACCGGCGACAUUGGGACUGAGAUACGGCCCAGACUCCUACGGGAGGCAGCAGUGGGGAAUAUUGCACAAUGGGCGGAAGCCUGAUGCAGCAACGCCGCGUGCGGGAUGACGGCCUUCGGGUUGUAAACCGCUUUCGCCUGUGACGAAGCGUGAGUGACGGUAAUAGGUAAAGAAGCACCGGCUAACUACGUG
RNAcentral lists this ribosomal RNA (468 nucleotides) under uncultured bacterium. RNAcentral's name for it is "partial 16S ribosomal RNA". It matches the Rfam family "Bacterial small subunit ribosomal RNA", at positions 28 to 507 of the family's 1533-position model. The record is from RNAcentral.